GUGGGGAAUAUUGGACAAUGGGCGAAAGCCUGAUCCAGCCAUGCCGCGUGUGUGAAGAAGGUCUUCGGAUUGUAAAGCACUUUAAGUUGGGAGGAAGGGCAGUAAGUUAAUACCUUGCUGUUUUGACGUUACCAACAGAAUAAGCACCGGCUAACUUCGUGCCAGCAGCCGCGGUAAUACGAAGGGUGCAAGCGUUAAUCGGAAUUACUGGGCGUAAAGCGCGCGUAGGUGGUUCAGCAAGUUGAAGGUGAAAUCCCCGGGCUCAACCUGGGAACUGCCUCCAAAACUACGGAGCUAGAGUACGGUAGAGGGUAGUGGAAUUUCCUGUGUAGCGGUGAAAUGCGUAGAUAUAGGAAGGAACACCAGUGGCGAAGGCGACUACCUGGACUGAUACUGACACUGAGGUGCGAAAGCGUGGGGAGCAAACAGGAUUAGAUACCCUUGAGUCC
RNAcentral lists this ribosomal RNA (449 nucleotides) under uncultured bacterium. Its description in RNAcentral is "bacterial SSU rRNA". It matches the Rfam family "Bacterial small subunit ribosomal RNA", at positions 354 to 796 of the family's 1533-position model. The record is from RNAcentral.